Long non-coding RNA from Gossypium arboreum, 1717 nucleotides. RefSeq lists it as uncharacterized. The transcript has 7 exons. The record is from RefSeq and is a predicted model, not a curated record. Lineage: Eukaryota; Viridiplantae; Streptophyta; Magnoliopsida; Malvales; Malvaceae.
AUAAUAUACGCCAGUAAUAUCCAUUUACAUUUUUCGCCAAAACCCUAGCAUUUGCCUUAACACAUUUUUAUCGCCUCACACUCUCUGUUUUCACUUAGUUUCUGAUUCUUCACUUUCAUUACUUCAAACACUCGCAGCGAUGAGACCUCCAAGAGGCCGUGGUGGUGGUGGGUUUAGGGGCAGAGGUGAUGGUGGAAGAGGGAGAGGAAGAGGAGGUGGUGGAAGACGUGGUAAUAGGGGCGGUAGUGCCAUGAAAUCCCGCGGCAGACUGGUGUUUGAUUGUUUCUGUUUUCUUAUAGUUCGAUGGAACAAAAAGAUUCUCCAACUUUAGUUGACAAAAACUUUCCUCGUUCCUCUUUUCUCUUGUCACUGUGAAAUCAUUCUUUGGCUAGAUCCAUAGAAGUUGUUUAUUAACUAGAACUUGGUUUUCUGUAUUCUUGUUUACAAUUAUGGCUAUCGGUUCUUGCUGUAAUGUUAUAGAGGAAAAAGGUAGGUUCUAUUUUAUCUAUUUUCUUCAUUGUGUUAAACCAGAAAUAUUAUAAGGAAUGCAGGAUGAAAUAUUAUCUACUGAAGUAAUAAAAUAGAGUUCAUUAGUUUUCAUUCUUAUUGAGAAUCAAAUAUGUGAGUUGAAUCCUAAUGCUUUCAGGUUGUGAAUUAUGUUGUGUAAAUUAUACUAGGGUUCCAAGUUCCAACACCAGAAGUCCAAUGUUGCUGUUGUUGAUUUGUGGAGGAGGUAAAUUGGUCCUUUCAUACAUAUUUAAUAUUCUUUAUAGGGAUAGACACAGUGGUAUUCCCAGUCUGACUUUGUUUAGUGGGAGAAAAUAUGAUGAUUAGCACUCCGUCUACACUUAAACAACAGCUUUUCUAAUUAUGCUGGAAAUGGCAAUGGCAAUGACAAGGAAAAUGUUGUUGGGGUUUUGGAGACCAAUGGGGAUCUUAAACCCAAAUUCCAAGGGGAAAAACGAGCUAUACAGAGAAUUGGGAGAACCCUGUCAUGUUGGAUGCUCCCGUCUCUAGAGGUGUUGUAGCUGCUGAAGCUGGUUCACUUACUUUCAUGGUUGGUGGCUCUGAAGAUGUGUAUCUUGCUGCCAAAUACUUACUCCUUUCGAUGGGAAAAGAGGAACUGCAAGAGGCUAUUGAUUUUAUAUCUCUGUUCGGGUAAAGUGGGCUUUGUGCUUCAGUCAGAGCUGCCUUGGUUCUUAGUGGUAGUAUAGGUUCUAUCUAAUUCAAAAAUGAGAAAGAAAAGGAAAGAAUGGGCAGAUAAUGUAUCUUUCAAAAAUGAUGAAAGUGCCACGAGUAGAGUCAAAACUAAGAGUGUUUUGUUUCAAGAUUCAGUUCCGAACUCAGGUUUUUGAAUUUAAAAGGAGCUUAAAUACUGUAAAUUCUGCAUGUAAUGAGGUACAAAAUUUCCUUAAAUUGAAGGAUCUCAUGAAGAAAAUUCUCUAUCUGGGAAAUACAUUGAACCAAGGAACUGCAAGGGGUUUGAGUUUUUGUUGGAUACGUGGUCCAGGAUUAGCUGAAUUCAUGCAUAGUGACGACUUGUUUAAGCUAACUGUUUAUCUUAAAGUGUGCAUUCUAUUAUUAUUUUGUUCUAUUUGUAUUUUGUUAGAUUUCUGGUGUAGUAUGAUAAGUGCGGUAUUUUGUUUGGCGGGAUGUAUUUAUAUCAUAGAUUAUUCUUCUUCUCAAUAUUUUGAUAAUGAAUUUUAAUUUUUUUAUA